RNAcentral lists this unclassified non-coding RNA (202 nucleotides) under uncultured fungus. RNAcentral describes it as "partial contains internal transcribed spacer 2 and large subunit ribosomal RNA". The record is from RNAcentral. Lineage: Eukaryota; Fungi.
AACGCACAUGGCGCCAGGAAUGGCAUACCUGUUUGAGGGUUGGAAUGACGUUAUAGAUGUGGCUGCGUCUCGCAGAGUCAGCCGAAGUGGAUCCUUGUGACGGUGAAAGCGUGUGGCACGGACUCUGGUCCAGAGCACGGCGACCCGUCCCACUUCUACCAAAGACAACCUCAAAUCAGGCAAGGCUACCCGCUGAACUUAA